CCUACGGGUGGCAGCAGUGAGGAAUAUUGGUCAAUGGGCGUAAGCCUGAACCAGCCAAGUCGCGUGAGGGAUGAAGGUUCUAUGGAUCGUGAACCUCUUUUAUAAGGGAAUAAAGUGUGGGACGUGUCCUGUUUUGUAUGUACCUUAUGAAUAAGGAUCGGCUAACUCCGUGCCAGCAGCCGCGGUAAUACGGAGGAUCCGAGCGUUAUCCGGAUUUAUUGGGUUUAAGGGGUGCGUAGGCGGCCUUUUACGUCAGCGGUGAAAGUCUGUGGCUCAACCAUAUAAUUGCCGUUGAAACUGGGAGGCUUGAGUAUGUUUGAGGCAGGCGGAAUGCGUGGUGUAGCGGUGAAAUGCUUAGAUAUCACGCAGAACCCCGAUUGCGAAGGCAGCCUGCCAAGCCAUGACUGACGCUGAUGCACGAAAGCGUGGGGAUCAAACAGGAUUAGAUACCCCAGUAGUC
RNAcentral lists this ribosomal RNA (460 nucleotides) under uncultured bacterium. RNAcentral describes it as "partial 16S ribosomal RNA". It matches the Rfam family "Bacterial small subunit ribosomal RNA", at positions 338 to 795 of the family's 1533-position model. The record is from RNAcentral.